Molecule: ribosomal RNA, 450 nt
Filed under: uncultured bacterium
Lineage: Bacteria
Description: partial 16S ribosomal RNA
Rfam family: Bacterial small subunit ribosomal RNA
Source: RNAcentral
GUGGGGAAUAUUGCGCAAUGGGCGAAAGCCUGACGCAGCGACGCCGCGUGAGGGAUGAAGGUUUUCGGAUCGUAAACCUCUGUCAGAAGGGAAGAAACUACGUUGUGCUAAUCAGCAGCGUACUGACGGUACCUUCAAAGGAAGCACCGGCUAACUCCGUGCCAGCAGCCGCGGUAAUACGGAGGGUGCAAGCGUUAAUCGGAAUUACUGGGCGUAAAGCGCACGUAGGCUGUAGUGUAAGUCAGGGGUGAAAUCCCACGGCUCAACCGGGGAACUGCCUUUGAUACUGCACAACUUGAAUCCGGGAGAGGGUGGCGGAAUUCCAGGUGUAGGAGUGAAAUCCGUAGAUAUCUGGAGGAACAUCAGUGGCGAAGGCGGCCACCUGGACCGGUAUUGACGCUGAGGUGCGAAAGCGUGGGGAGCGAACGGGAUUAGAUACCCGGGUAGUCC